GCCUUCGUAGCUCAGUGGCAGAGCAUCUACUCUUAGUAACAAGAAAUUGAAGAGUCAAACGUAUCGAGAAUCCGUGGGUUCGACUCCCACCAAAGGCA
This is a non-coding RNA of Mycena rebaudengoi, 98 nucleotides long. Lineage: Eukaryota; Fungi; Basidiomycota; Agaricomycetes; Agaricales; Mycenaceae. The record is from the annotation of a GenBank genome assembly.